ACAGCUCUCAGCGUCCGCUGCAGCGCCGGCCACCUGAAGGUCUCUCCGUGCUUCAGAAACCUUUGACCUUCACAGAUCAAGGGGCUGAGGCUUCGUGCUAGG
Non-coding RNA from Tinamus guttatus (white-throated tinamou), 102 nucleotides. Lineage: Eukaryota; Metazoa; Chordata; Aves; Tinamiformes; Tinamidae. The record is from RefSeq and is a predicted model, not a curated record.